CCUACGGGUGACAGCAGUGAGGAAUAUUGGUCAAUGGGCGUAAGCCUGAACCAGCCAAGUCGCGUGAGGGAUGAAGGUGCUAGGGAUCGUAAACCUCUUUUAUAAGGGAAUAAAGUGUGGGACGUGUCCUGUUUUGUAUGUACCUUAUGAAUAAGGAUCGGCUAACUCCGUGCCAGCAGCCGCGGUAAUACGGAGGAUCCGAGCGUUAUCCGGAUUUAUUGGGUUUAAAGGGUGCGUAGGCGGCCUUUUAAGGCAGCGGUGAAAGUCUGUGGCUCAACCAUAGAAUUGCCGUUGAAACUGGGAGGCUUGAGUGUGUUUGAGGCAGGCGGAAUGCGUGGUGUAGCGGUGAAAUGCUUAGAUAUCACGCAGAACCCCGAUUGCGAAGGCAGUCUGCCAAGCCAUGACUGACGCUGAUGCACGAAAGCGUGGGGAUCAAACAGGAUUAGAUACCCCAGUAGUC
Molecule: ribosomal RNA, 460 nt
Filed under: uncultured bacterium
Lineage: Bacteria
Description: partial 16S ribosomal RNA
Rfam family: Bacterial small subunit ribosomal RNA
Source: RNAcentral